CUUAACUGGGUGCCCCUGACUCAGGGUCUCUCAGAAGGCUGCAAUCAAGGUAUUGACCAGGUAGGCAGUCAUCUCAAGACUCAACUGGAGAGGACCUGCUUCCUCUCACUAGCAAGCUCACUAGCAUAGCUGGUGGCAGGCCUCAAGUUAUUUCUGGCUAUUGGCCUGAAACCUGAGUUCCUUGCCAUAUAAGCCUCUUCGUAAGGCUUCCUACACAACAUGUCAGCUUGCUUCUCCCAGAGCAAAGACCUUUGAGAAAGACAGAAGGAGACAGCUCUAAGAGAGGGCCAUAAAUGCAAACAAAUAAAUUCCUAUUACUAUAAAAGUGUGGGCCAACCCUUAAUCAGUGACAUUACUAAGAACUGUGAAAUGUUUACACAUUUGACCCUUCAACAGCAUGGGUUUGAACUUUGUGGAUCCACUUAAUUUUGGAUUUUCUUCUGCCUCUGCUACCCCGAGACAGCAAGACCAACUCCUCUUCUUCCUCCUCCUCCUCUACCUAUCCAACAUGACGAUGAUGAGGAUGAAGAACUUUAUGACAAUCUACUUGCACUUAAUAAAUAGUAAAUAUAUUUUCUCUUCUUUACAAUUUUCUUAAUAACAUUUUCUUUUCUCUAGCUUACUUGAUUGUAAGAAUACAAUAUAUAAUACAUAUACAAAAUGUGUGUUAAUCACCUGUUACGUUAUUGAUAAGGCUUCUGGUCAGCAGGAGGCAAUUCGUAGUUAAGUUUUUGGGGAGUCACAACUUAUAUGCUAAUUUUGUAUUGUGGGGGAGGGAGGUCAGGGCUCCUAAUCCCUGCACUGUCCAAGUAUCCAUUGUAUAGCGCAACUCCUAUGUCUCAGUGCCUGAAUGGCAGUGGAGUGCUUCAGACUAAUGCAUCCUUUGAUAAUAACUGUUUCUUCUUCUUCUUCUUCUUCUUCUUUUUCUUCUUCUUCUUCUUCUUCUUCUUCUUCUUCUUC
RNAcentral lists this long non-coding RNA (960 nucleotides) under Homo sapiens (human). RNAcentral describes it as "HSALNT0093680". Lineage: Eukaryota; Metazoa; Chordata; Mammalia; Primates; Hominidae. The record is from RNAcentral.